This 921-nucleotide ribosomal RNA is filed under the name Austropurcellia giribeti. Its description in RNAcentral is "SSU rRNA". It matches the Rfam family "Eukaryotic small subunit ribosomal RNA", at positions 24 to 944 of the family's 1831-position model. The record is from RNAcentral. Lineage: Eukaryota; Metazoa; Arthropoda; Arachnida; Opiliones; Pettalidae.
UGAUAUGCUUGUCUCAAAGACUAAGCCAUGCAAGUCUAAGUACAUGCCGAAUUAAGGUGAAACCGCGAAUGGCUCAUUAAAUCAGUUAUGGUUCCUUAGAUCGUACUUUUCUACUUGGAUAACUGUGGCAAUUCUAGAGCUAAUACAUGCAGCAGAGCUCCGACCUUCGGGGACGAGCGCUUUUAUUAGACCAAGACCAAUCGGACCUCGGUCCGUAUACCACGGCGACUCUGGAUAACUUUGGGCUGAUCGCACGAUCUAGCAUCGGCGAUAUUUCUUUCAAGUGUCUGCCUUAUCAACUGUCGAUGGUAGGUUAUGCGCCUACCAUGGUCGUAACGGGUAACGGGGAAUCAGGGUUCGAUUCCGGAGAGGGAGCCUGAGAAACGGCUACCACAUCCAAGGAAGGCAGCAGGCGCGCAAAUUACCCACUCCCGGCACGGGGAGGUAGUGACGAAAAAUAACAAUACGGGACUCUCUUGAGGCCCCGUAAUUGGAAUGAGUACAAUCUAAAUCCUUUAACGAGGAUCUAUUGGAGGGCAAGUCUGGUGCCAGCAGCCGCGGUAAUUCCAGCUCCAAUAGCGUAUAUUAAAGUUGUUGCGGUUAAAAAGCUCGUAGUUGGAUCUCAGUUACAGACAGGCGGUCCACCUUACGGUGGCUACUGCCUGGCCUGAACGUCCUGCCGGUUUUCUCUCGGUGCUCUUCAUUGAGUGUCUUGAGUGGCCGGCACGUUUACUUUGAAAAAAUUAGAGUGCUCAAAGCAGGCGUGACGCCUGAAUAAUGGUGCAUGGAAUAAUGGAAUAGGACCUCGGUUCUAUUGUGUUGGUUUUCGGAACACGAGGUAAUGAUUAAGAGGGACAGACGGGGGCAUUCGUAUUGCGACGCUAGAGGUGAAAUUCUUGGACCGUCGCAAGACGAACUACU